GACGAACGCUGGCGGCGUGCCUAAUACAUGCAAGUUGAGCGCUUAAGGUUGGUACUUGUACCGACUGGAUGAGCAGCGAACGGGUGAGUAACGCGUGGGGAAUCUGCCUUUGAGCGGGGGACAACAUUUGGAAACGAAUUCUAAUACCGCAUAAAAACUUUAAACACAAGUUUUAAGUUUGAAAGAUGCAAUUGCAUCACUCAAAGAUGAUCCCGCGUUGUAUUAGCUAGUUGGUGAGGUAAAGGCCCACCAAGGCGAUGAUACAUAGCCGGCCUGAGAGGGUGAUCGGCCACAUUGGGACUGAGACACGGCCCAAACUCCUACGGGAGGCAGCAGUAGGGAAACUUCGGCAAUGGACGAAAGUCUGACCGAGCAACGCCGCGGGAGUGAAGAAGGUUUUCGGAUCGUAAAACUCUGUUGGUAGAGAAGAACGUUGGUGAGAGUGGAAAGCUCAUCAAGUGACGGUAACUACACAGAAAGGGACGGCUAACUACGUG
This 497-nucleotide ribosomal RNA is filed under the name uncultured bacterium. RNAcentral's name for it is "partial 16S ribosomal RNA". It matches the Rfam family "Bacterial small subunit ribosomal RNA", at positions 28 to 507 of the family's 1533-position model. The record is from RNAcentral.